RNAcentral lists this ribosomal RNA (465 nucleotides) under uncultured bacterium. Its description in RNAcentral is "partial 16S ribosomal RNA". It matches the Rfam family "Bacterial small subunit ribosomal RNA", at positions 28 to 507 of the family's 1533-position model. The record is from RNAcentral.
GACGAACGCUGGCGGCGUGCUUAACACAUGCAAGUCGAACGGAAAGGCCCUGCUUGCAGGGUACUCGAGUGGCGAACGGGUGAGUAACACGUGGGUGAUCUGCCCUGCACUUCGGGAUAAGCCUGGGAAACUGGGUCUAAUACCGGAUAGGAGCCAUUUUUAGUGUGAUGGUUGGAAAGUUUUUUCGGUGUAGGAUGAGCUCGCGGCCUAUCAGCUUGUUGGUGGGGUAAUGGCCUACCAAGGCGGCGACGGGUAGCCGGCCUGCGAGGGUGGACGGCCACAUUGGGACUGAGAUACGGCCCAGACUGCUACGGGAGGCAGCAGGGGGGAAGAUUGAACAAGGGGCGCAAGCCGGAUGCAGCGACGCCGCGGGGGGGAUGACGGCCUUAGGGUUGUAAACUCAUUUCGCUAGGGACGAAGCUUUUUGUGACGGUACCUAGAUAAGAAGCACCGGCUAACUACGUG